GACGAACGCUGGCGGCGGGCUUAACACAUGCAAGUCGAACGGAAAGGCCCUGCUUUUGUGGGGUGCUCGAGUGGCGAACGGGUGAGUAACACGUGAGUAACCUGCCCUUGACUUUGGGAUAACUUCAGGAAACUGGGGCUAAUACCGGAUAGGAGCUCCUGCUGCAUGGUGGGGGUUGGAAAGUUUCGUCGGUUGGGGAUGGAGUCGGGGCUUAUCAGCUUGUUGGUGGGGUAGUGGCUUACCAAGGAUUUGACGGGUAGCCGGCCUGGGAGGGUGACCGGCCCCAUGGGCGUUGGGGAGGCGCCAGGGCGGAAAGGGGGGGCAGGGGGGGGAAACAGAGCCAAAUGGGCGGAGGGUGGAGGGAAGAACGCCGGGGGGGGAAGGACGGCCUUGGGGUGGUAAACGCAUUUCGCUUGUGACGAGCGGUGGGGAAGGGAAAGGGGGAAGAAGCCCCGGCUAACCUCGUG
Molecule: ribosomal RNA, 467 nt
Filed under: uncultured bacterium
Lineage: Bacteria
Description: partial 16S ribosomal RNA
Rfam family: Bacterial small subunit ribosomal RNA
Source: RNAcentral